GUAGGUGAACCUGCGGAAGGAUCAUUAAUGAAUAACUAUGGUGUUGGUUGUUGCUGGCUUCUAGGAGCAUGUGCACGCCCGCCAUUCUUAUCUCUCCACCUGUGCACAUUAUGUAGGUCUGGAUAACUCUCGCUCUCGGGCGGAUACAGGGAUUGUCGCUUGCGGCUCUCCUUGAAUUUCCAGAUCUAUGUAUUUACAUACCCCAAUUGAAUGAUGAAGAAUGUAGUCAAUGGGCUUUAUGCCUAUAAAACAAAAUACAACUUUCAGCAACGGAUCUCUUGGCUCUC
Molecule: unclassified non-coding RNA, 287 nt
Filed under: rhizosphere metagenome
Description: partial ribosomal RNA internal transcribed spacer region
Source: RNAcentral